GACGAACGCUGGCGGCGUGCUUAACACAUGCAAGUCGAACGGAAAGGCCCCUUUGGGGGUGCUCGAGUGGCGAACAGGUGUGUAACACGUGAGUAACCUGCCCUUGUCUUCGGGGUAUCUUCAGGGAACUGUGGCUAAUACCGGAUAGGGAUCCUUGCUGCAUGGUGUGGGUUGGGAAGCUUCGGCGGUUUUGGAUGGACUCGCGGCUUAUCAGCUUGUUGGUGGGGUAGUGGCUUACCAAGGCUUUGACGGGUAGCCGGCCUGAGAGGGCGACCGGCCACAUUGGGACUGAGAUACGGCCCAGACUCCUACGGGAGGCAGCAGUGGGGAAUAUUGCACAAUGGGCGGAAGCCUGAUGCAGCAACGCCGCGUGCGGGAUGACGGCCUUCGGGUUGUAAACCGCUUUCAGCAGGGGCGAAGCUUGUGGUGACGGUACCUGCAGAAGAAGCACCGGCUAACUACGUG
This 465-nucleotide ribosomal RNA is filed under the name uncultured bacterium. RNAcentral's name for it is "partial 16S ribosomal RNA". It matches the Rfam family "Bacterial small subunit ribosomal RNA", at positions 28 to 507 of the family's 1533-position model. The record is from RNAcentral.